CGCCACCGCCGUUGCCCCUCACCAGAACUAGGCCUGUGGCCUCACCCCGCCACCGCCGUUGCUCCUCCCACAACCAGAUCGCCGGCGGUGAACAACGGAAGAUCGCACUCGUCUCGAAGAAAUCACUGAACUCGAAGCCACGCCCAACAUCGCACUCCUCCCUAAAUCGCCGCCGCCAUCUGCAAAUCAGACUCUCACUCCUCGUCGUGCCCUAGGGCGACCGCCAUCUGCAAAUCGCCACCCCCAAAUUAGACUCUCACUCCUCGCCGUGCCCUAGGACCCAAAUCAGACACCACCGCACUAGGCCACCGUCUCCCUCGUUUUCCGGCCACCCUCCUGCUUCCCUCUGCAAAUAAGACAGCCACCGACCGCCUCCGCCUUUCUCCUUUUGAUUUUGACCGCAUCUUUCCUCAAAAUCAG
This 420-nucleotide long non-coding RNA is filed under the name Salvia miltiorrhiza (redroot sage). RNAcentral describes it as "long non-coding RNA (SMIL_LNC009970)". The record is from RNAcentral. Lineage: Eukaryota; Viridiplantae; Streptophyta; Magnoliopsida; Lamiales; Lamiaceae.